Molecule: microRNA precursor, 113 nt
Filed under: Prunus persica (peach)
Lineage: Eukaryota; Viridiplantae; Streptophyta; Magnoliopsida; Rosales; Rosaceae
Description: miR6267b stem-loop (ppe-MIR6267b)
Source: miRBase by way of RNAcentral
GGAAUGCUAGAGAGACCACAUUAUUGUACCACCUCUCUAAUAGAGGUAGGGCUGCUCACCAAUACAAGUAGGUCCAAACUCCAUUAGAGAGGCGGUAAACAAUAUAGUACAAU